Molecule: unclassified non-coding RNA, 1396 nt
Filed under: Hevea brasiliensis (rubber tree)
Lineage: Eukaryota; Viridiplantae; Streptophyta; Magnoliopsida; Malpighiales; Euphorbiaceae
Source: RNAcentral
CGAGUGAGAGAAUCUGGGAAAGGCUGUGAUCUUAGCGACGACAUUUCUUUAUAGAGGACGUGGGGCCUUAGUUGUUCAUUGGUCCCGACAUUCCCUCCCUUCUUCUUUUUUUUUUCUUUAAAGAUUCUUUUUCUCUUCUCGAAUGGGAGAAUGAGACUGGAACUCUCACUUCCUUUCUCGAUCGGGAAAGCAAUAACCUUCUUCAUUUACCGGACGGUAGCUAGAUCGAGAGCCGUGAAUCGCUUUUCAUUUCAAUUCUUCGAUUGUCAAUUGCCGAAAAAAUUACAUAACAAAUUAUACCACUCUUUAGAAUAACAAAAAUAAAAAAUUACUAUAAUAUGAAAAUUACUUCCGUAUCGACUUGAGUAAUUUUAUCCGGAUAUCUUUCCGGCACACGGGUUCGAUUCCCGGUCGUGACAAGAUCAGUCUUUCACUCAAUGACGAUUCCUCAUCCCUCCGAUCUUACCAAUACUCUUUGAAACCUCCUUUCUUGUAUACAACCUCCGGUCUUGCCAAUGAGCUUGUCAACCGAGUCUCAGUGCUAUCACUUGGAUAUUGAACGAAUCUACUCUCUUUAAACAGAUUCAGUACUUGCUUCCGGGGAACAAGACCCUACUUCGUCCUAAGGCUCUUCCAUCUAUCCUAUUAUAGGUGUUGCCCCUGUCCUGUCUCUGUAAUCGAUCGAAGGCAUUAUUCUAAAGAUCUACGUUGGACCCGGGAUUCAUUCUUAUUCUCCCGUUAUAAUAAUAAGAAAGGGGCAAGGGCCACUGGACUUUCUGCUGCGAACAAAGUCUCGGCAACAGGAAUGAAGCUUUUUUGCACCUGCACAGACUGGUUGCAUACGAGGAAUUUGCACACCCAAUAGAAAGACAUUUCCUCCUGGGGAGUAAUUUCCUCUGUGGACCUUUUCUCUUGUUUUAUGAAUAUGCUAUAAUAGUUGGGCCAGGCCAUUGAUAGAUGUUCUUUACGUGGGGAGGAUAUAAGUUUCAAGUGCAGAUACUUAAUUUCCAAUGGAUAAUUUAGCCUUAAAAUGGUUCCUAUUGACCUUGUUGCAAGCAUGGUAUGGCAUUUUUCAUAUGUAUUGGCAUUUCAUGAUCACAUGAUCCCAUUGUACUAUUAUGUAUUGAAAGACUAUUGGAUCCAUCGGACUCAGUAAGAUUUAGUGAUCACUUGCUUGCCUUAACUCUUAACUCAUAAAUAAGGUAGGCCCUUCGGGGAGGUGUUUCAACUGCCUGGCUGGGAUUUAGCUAAUGCCCUUUCCCGGAAUUCUAGUUUUCAUUUCCUAUCCCAAUCCUGCCUUUUAAACGCACUAUCAACUGGCAGUAAGUGAAGCUAUAGCAGUGAAUUUACUGGCAUUUUAGGAUUCGCUAAAGGCAGACAAGAUCUCUUCUCUUCG